AGCAAUACGUUAGUGGCGCACGGGUGAGUAACACGUGGGAACCUAUCUUUCGGUUCGGAAAAACGGAGGGAAACUUCCGCUAAUACCGUAUACGCCCUUAGGGGGAAAGAUUUAUCGCCGAUUGAGGGGCCCGCGUCUGAUUAGCUAGUUGGUGAGGUAAAGGCUCACCAAGGCGACGAUCAGUAGCUGGUCUGAGGGGACGAUCAGCCACACUGGGACUGAGACACGGCCCAGACUCCUACGGGAGGCAGCAGUGGGGAAUAUUGGACAAUGGGGGCAACCCUGAUCCAGCCAUGCCGCGUGAGUGAUGAAGGCCUUCGGGUUGUAAAGCUCUUUCGCACGCGACGAUGAUGACGGUAGCGUGAGAAGAAGCCCCGGCUAACUUCGUGCCAGCAGCCGCGGUAAUACGAAGGGGGCUAGCGUUGUUCGGAUUUACUGGGCGUAAAGCGCACGCAGGCGGUCUUUUUAG
This 469-nucleotide ribosomal RNA is filed under the name uncultured Magnetospirillum sp. RNAcentral's name for it is "bacterial SSU rRNA". It matches the Rfam family "Bacterial small subunit ribosomal RNA", at positions 83 to 587 of the family's 1533-position model. The record is from RNAcentral. Lineage: Bacteria; Pseudomonadati; Pseudomonadota; Alphaproteobacteria; Rhodospirillales; Rhodospirillaceae.